GUACUUACAUCAAUCACACAUAUGCUAAAAUUGAAAUGAUAGAGAUUAACAUGGCCCCUGCCAAGGAUGACAUGUAAAUCUGUGAAGCAUUCCAUGUUUUA
This 101-nucleotide small nuclear RNA is filed under the name Sciurus vulgaris (Eurasian red squirrel). Lineage: Eukaryota; Metazoa; Chordata; Mammalia; Rodentia; Sciuridae. The record is from RNAcentral.